GCUCUGAUGGCCGAGUGGCGAAGGUGUUGGACUCAAAAUUCAAGAGGGUUUCCCUGUGCAGGUUCAAAUCCUGCUCACAGCA
Mauremys mutica (yellowpond turtle) is the source of this 82-nucleotide non-coding RNA. The record is from the annotation of a RefSeq genome assembly. NCBI's taxonomy places the organism in Eukaryota, Metazoa, Chordata, Testudines, Geoemydidae.